This 368-nucleotide ribosomal RNA is filed under the name Escherichia coli. RNAcentral's name for it is "bacterial SSU rRNA". It matches the Rfam family "Bacterial small subunit ribosomal RNA", at positions 1 to 363 of the family's 1533-position model. Lineage: Bacteria; Pseudomonadati; Pseudomonadota; Gammaproteobacteria; Enterobacterales; Enterobacteriaceae. The record is from RNAcentral.
UUAAAUUGAAGAGUUUGAUCAUGGCUCAGAUUGAACGCUGGCGGCAGGCCUAACACAUGCAAGUCGAACGGUAACAGGAAGAAGCUUGCUUCUUUGCUGACGAGUGGCGGACGGGUGAGUAAUGUCUGGGAAACUGCCUGAUGGAGGGGGAUAACUACUGGAAACGGUAGCUAAUACCGCAUAACGUCGCAAGACCAAAGAGGGGGACCUUCGGGCCUCUUGCCAUCGGAUGUGCCCAGAUGGGAUUAGCUAGUAGGUGGGGUAACGGCUCACCUAGGCGACGAUCCCUAGCUGGUCUGAGAGGAUGACCAGCCACACUGGAACUGAGACACGGUCCAGACUCCUACGGGAGGCAGCAGUGGGGAAUA